Non-coding RNA from Mycena rosella, 94 nucleotides. The record is from the annotation of a GenBank genome assembly. Lineage: Eukaryota; Fungi; Basidiomycota; Agaricomycetes; Agaricales; Mycenaceae.
GCAUCGGUAGGGUAUCGGAAUCCUGCAGCCUCCCUGUUCUGUAUCUGCCACCCUGGUUCAGGCCGAGCGCGGGGUUCGACUCCCCGUCGAUGCA